Molecule: long non-coding RNA, 625 nt
Organism: Prosopis cineraria
Lineage: Eukaryota; Viridiplantae; Streptophyta; Magnoliopsida; Fabales; Fabaceae
Exons: 2
Source: RefSeq, a predicted model, not a curated record
AGAGAGAGAGAGUGAAGGAUGCUCUAAGAUUUCAUUCCUUCUUCCUCCUUCGAACCUUGGCAGUUUUUCCUUCUGUUUCCGUCGUUGCUGUCGCUAGUGUGAGUAACCACCCUUGCUUCAAUCGUCCGAAGUUGACAAGUGCUUAAGUUCGUUUGUUGCUGCUGUGCGUCUGCAAGAUCUCUUCAUUCUCCCCUGUUCCAGCUCAUAUCUACUGUGAUUUGUUGAGCUGCUACUCUUCUAUUACCGUUGUUGGAGACUUGGUUGAUCAGAAAUUUUACUUUUGCUCCUCCGUUCGUCCGUGCGUCACUGUAGAUGUUGCUGUUAGUGUGUGGAAAUUUUUAUCUUCCUCUGCCGGUGCGUGUAGGAAUUUUCAGAUUUGUUAGCUGAUGUCGAUUCCACCAUUGAUUUUGAAGGGCAAACUAGCUACAGUGGGUGGAAAUUUUUGAUUGGUACUGUUACUUUUAAUGUAAAUACAUAAUUUGUAUGUGUUUUUGAUUUAAAAGAAAAAGUAGAUGCUCCAUAUAGAUUGUUGUUAGGAUUUUAUUUUGAUCUAUAUACUGUUGCUGGCUGGAAGGAGCUAAGCUCCUGAUUGAUACUGUUUUUUUAAAAAAAUUUUGUUAUAGAA